CAAAACUUUAGCUGAACUUGUUGUGAAACAGUAACAGUAAGAGAUAGUUAAUAUAUAAUUGUGACAUACUAACUGUGUAUUUAUUGCUCUUUUGAUGAUCAGCUGUGAAUAGUUGUGGUCUGGAGAUCUGGGCUGUCGUCAGAAGCCACCAAAUCCCAUCAAGUUCUGCAACCAACUUACUUGAGUUAAUUGAAGAAACUGAGAGGAGAACAGUUAACUCACAUCAAGUCUGGAUUUGCUCUGGGUGAUUUACCAGUCCCUAAGGGAGCCAGAGCCAGGAUCUGGAGCUGACACCCUAUAUGGAGCAGGAGAUGCUUCGAGCAGCCAGCACGAAAGGAGGCAAAAAGCCAAGUGGCAGGAUAUCUGCUGAGAAAGCUGAGAAGAUGAGUGUCUCGCAGGAGAAAAUGGAAGACAGCAGAUCUCACAUGACAUCCAAAGAAUACAAGCUACAAAAGGAUCAGCAUCUCAUAAAGAAUUUUAAGACAUUACAAGACAUUGCAAGGUAAAGAUCUUUUUUUCCCCCCCUAUCUUUAUUACCAUAUUCAUCAACUGAAAAGCUGGUUUCUAGUAUAAUUUCAGGAAUGAACAUAUUGAUCAUGAAGAUUAUGGCAAUUCUUAAAUUAUUUCCAGGAUCAGUAAAGAAAGCCAGUCAAAUUUUCCUAGAAAUUUUUCCUUCAAAAUAUUUAUCUUUAGUGUCGUGAUUAAGUGUCUAAUAUGUCAUAUAUCUGCCAAUUUUGGGUGCUACUUUUAAUUAGGGUUCUGAUGUUUCUGAUGCUCUCUAAAACCAUUAUAUUUACCUUGUACGUGAUUACAAACAAGAUUGUGGGAGCCUUCAGACUCCUGCUCUUGAGACACCAAAAAGCAAAGUCACAUAUGGCAGGAAGCUUUCAGUGAAGUUUACUUUGAAAAUAAAUGCGUGGCAAUAGCAUGAGAAAGUGUGAAG
RNAcentral lists this long non-coding RNA (943 nucleotides) under Calidris pygmaea (Spoon-billed sandpiper). RNAcentral's name for it is "lncRNA (ENSCPGG00000012621.1)". Lineage: Eukaryota; Metazoa; Chordata; Aves; Charadriiformes; Scolopacidae. The record is from RNAcentral.